Molecule: ribosomal RNA, 433 nt
Filed under: uncultured bacterium
Lineage: Bacteria
Description: partial 16S ribosomal RNA
Rfam family: Bacterial small subunit ribosomal RNA
Source: RNAcentral
AACGAACGCUGGCGGCUUGCCUAACACAUGCAAGUCGAACGAGACCUUCGGGUCUAGUUGCGCACGGGUGCGUAACGCGUGGGAACCUUCCCUUAGGUUCGGAAUAACUCCCCGAAAGGGGUGCUAAUACCGGAUAAUGUCUUCUGACCAAAGAUUUAUCGCCUUUGGAUGGGCCCGCGUUGGAUUAGCUAGUUGGUAGGGUAAAAGCCUACCAAGGCGACGAUCCAUAGCUGGUCUGAGAGGAUGAUCAGCCACACUGGGACUGGGACACGGCCCAGACUCCCACGGGAGGCAGCAAUGGGGAAUAUUGGACAAUGGGCGAAAGCAUGAUCCCGUCAUGCCGCGUGAGUGAUGAAGGCCUUAGGGUUGUAAAGCUCUUUUACCCGGGAUGAUAAUGACAGUACCGGGAGAAUAAGCUCCGGCUAACUCCGUG